This 519-nucleotide ribosomal RNA is filed under the name uncultured eukaryote. RNAcentral describes it as "SSU rRNA". It matches the Rfam family "Eukaryotic small subunit ribosomal RNA", at positions 1161 to 1698 of the family's 1831-position model. The record is from RNAcentral.
AGGGCACCACCAGGAGUGGAGCCUGCGGCUUAAUUUGACUCAACACGGGAAAACUCACCCGGCCCGGACACUGGAAGGAUUGACAGAUUGAGAGCUCUUUCUUGAUUCAGUGGGUGGUGGUGCAUGGCCGUUCUUAGUUGGUGGAGUGAUUUGUCUGGUUAAUUCCGAUAACGAACGAGACUCUAGCCUAUUAAAUAGAUCGUUGGCUUACAAACGCCGGCGAGACUUCUUAGAGGGACAGGCGGCGAUUCAGCCGCACGAAACAGAGCAAUAACAGGUCUGUGAUGCCCUUAGAUGUCCGGGGCCGCACGCGCGCUACACUGAAGUGAUCAGCGUGCAUUUUGAAACCUACUCUGUCAAGAGUGGGGAACCCAAUGAACCUUCUUCGUGAUUGGGAUAGGGGGUUGUAAUUAUUCCUCUUGAACGAGGAAUUCCCAGUAAGCGCGAAUCAUAAGUUUGCGCUGAUUACGUCCCUGCCCUUUGUACACACCGCCCGUCGCUACUACCGAUUGAAUGUUU